GUUCCCGCCGCACCAUACACCCAGCUCCGCCCGCGCGGCGGCGUCUCAGCCUCUUAGGCUGGGCCGGAAAGGAGGCGGAACGCGGCGACACGGCUCGCGGUUUCCCAGCCGGACCGAAAAGCGGAGCGCACCGAGCGUCGCGGGAGCAUCGCGCCGGCCCUCUGCUCUCGCGACAUGGCCUUCAAUUUUGGGGCUCCCUCGGGCACCUCGGGCACCGCUGCGGCCACCGCGGCUCCCUCGGGAUUUGGUGGGCUUGAGACUGCCAACUCCACCGCCAGUGGGUUUAAUUUUGGGGGUUUCGGAUUAACUGCUAAUCCUGCAGUGAACUUUAAUAUUGGGAAUUUCGGUGUUUCUACUACCUCGGCGACUCCGUUCAAUUUUGGUAACAGUCUGGCGAGUGCAGGUGGGUUUGGAGGAUUUGGAACAACAUCUACAACUGCAGGCUCAGCAUUCAGCUUUUCUGCCCCAGCUAACACAGGCACUACUGGACUCUUCGGUGGUACUCAGAACAAAGGUUUUGGAUUCGGUACUGGGUUUGGCACAACAACAGGAACAAGUACUGGUUUAGGUACUGGUUUGGGAACUGGACUGGGAUUUGGAGGAUUUAAUACACAGCAGCAGCAAAGUACAUUAGGUGGUCUCUUCAGUCAGCCUACACAAGCUCCUACCCAGUCCAACCAGCUGAUAAAUACUGCGAGUGCUCUUUCUGCUCCAACGCUAUUGGGAGAUGAGAGAGAUGCUAUUUUGGCAAAAUGGAAUCAACUGCAGGCCUUUUGGGGAACAGGCAAAGGAUAUUUCAACAAUAACAUUCCACCAGUGGAAUUCACACAAGAAAAUCCCUUUUGCCGAUUUAAGGCAGUAGGUUAUAGUUGUAUGCCCAGUAAUAAAGAUGAAGAUGGGCUAGUGGUUUUAGUUUUCAACAAAAAAGAAACAGAUAUUCGAAGCCAGCAACAGCAGUUGGUAGAAUCAUUGCAUAAAGUUUUGGGAGGAAACCAGACCCUUACUGUAAACGUAGAGGGCAUUAAAACAUUGCCAGAUGAUCAGACAGAAGUUGUCAUUUAUGUUGUUGAGCGUUCUCCAAAUGGUACUUCGAGAAGAGUUCCAGCUACAACAUUAUAUGCCCAUUUUGAGCAAACCAAUGUCAAAACACAACUGCAGCAACUUGGUGUAACCCUUUCCAUGACUAGAACAGAACUUUCUCCUGCACAAAUCAAACAGCUUUUACAGAAUCCUCCUGCUGGUGUUGAUCCUAUCAUCUGGGAACAAGCCAAGGUGGACAACCCCGAUUCUGAAAAGUUAAUUCCUGUACCAAUGGUGGGUUUCAAAGAGCUGCUCCGAAGACUGAAGGUUCAAGAUCAGAUGACUAAGCAGCAUCAAACUAGAUUAGAUAUCAUAUCUGAAGACAUUAGUGAGCUACAAAAGAAUCAAACUACAACCAUGGCCAAAAUUGCACAAUAUAAGAGGAAACUCAUGGAUCUUUCCCACAGAACCUUACAGGUCCUGAUUAAACAAGAAAUUCAAAGGAAGAGUGGUUAUGCCAUCCAGGCUGAUGAAGAACAGUUGCGAGUUCAGCUAGAUACGAUUCAGUGUGAACUAAAUGCACCGACUCAGUUCAAGGGUAGACUAAAUGAACUGAUGUCCCAAAUCAGGAUGCAGAAUCAUUUUGGGGCAGUCAAAUCGGAAGAAAGAUAUUAUAUAGAUGCAGAUCUAUUACGAGAAAUCAAGCAGCAUUUGAAACAACAACAAGAAGGCCUUAGCCAUUUGAUUAGCAUCAUAAAAGAUGAUCUAGAAGAUAUAAAGUUAGUAGAACAUGGAUUGAAUGAAUCUAUCCAUAUCAGAGGCGGUGUCUGUAGUUGACAGUUCACAGACCUGUGUUAGGAGUUGUGUGAAAUGCGUCGUCUUUGUGCAUCAGGCCUCCUUAAGAAUGAAACUGACCACAUGGAGGGAACAAAAAACAAAAAAAAGCUUGACGUGUGCAGUGUUUAUGAAGUCUGCAAUAGUGUCCAUUCAUGUGCCAGGCCCUCACUCGGCACCAACUCAUCCAGAGCAACUGCCAGUCCUGCACGCUCCAUUCAUGUCCUUACAGACAUUCCUGGUGGUAAAUUUGACAAGUUGGCCACAUUCGAGAGAUGACAAUUCUGAAGCACAGAGAAGUCCACAGCUCUCUGAGGCACAGUUAUACCCAGUCACAAUGGAGCAAGAUUCUGAUUACAUCCUCCUGGCUGGAGCUUCUAAAACACCUGGUCACAAGGUUUCAAAGGCGCGUCUCCAAAGACCCCGUCAGUUUCGACCUGCGCUCCCACGGCCGACCUCUGGGUGGCAGCAGAGGGCCGCGGCGCGGCGGGUCGGACACGACAGCUGCGCACCCCGCGCCCUUCCCGCUUCCUCGCGUGGGCCCACGACGCCCUGACCGCUGGGGACCAGAUCGGUGGCGCCCUCUCUUUGGCGCGCUCACAACCCCACUCGCAAGCGUGGAGGGCGAGGGCUCCGCCGCCCUCCUCCGCCCCCCCACACACACCCAGCGCUGCGCACGGCCAGGGCCUCCCUGCCUGCGUGGCUGGCCUGCACGGGUGCACCGGGAGCAGUGUCGUUUCUGCCGGCCCGGCUGCAAGUGGGGUUUGCCCGGGAGACGCUGUGCAGUGUCUCCUGAACGCCGAUGAUCUAGUCACCAAAGAAAGCGCCGUCGUCAGAGGAUGGUAAAGUCUAACAGGCUCGGGGGCCGACGGGGGGACUCUGGCUUGCAGUGUUUGCUGAUUUCCGUGGUGUGACUCCAAACCACAGCCAAUGUCAAGCUAGUGCGAUGUAGCAGGAACUGGGAAGAAGACACGCAUGCCUCCCAACCAAUUCCUGACAGCUUGUGUAAACUGACGACAGCUGGCUUGGUUUUUGGUUAUUUAAGUAAAAUCCCUAACAUAAUACAAAUUUGUUAAUUUAGUCCUCAU
This is a non-coding RNA of Microcebus murinus (gray mouse lemur), 2942 nucleotides long. The record is from RefSeq and is a predicted model, not a curated record. NCBI's taxonomy places the organism in Eukaryota, Metazoa, Chordata, Mammalia, Primates, Cheirogaleidae.